AACAGCUUUACAAACUAUUUACACAAAAAUUCGUUCUGCUCCUGUUUCAUGAAUGAGGCCCAUUGUGACUUUUGGAUGAGUUGGCAGUGGAAUUGCAAUUGCACUCUUUUCCAAAAACUUUAUUAUGACAACGACAUAAUUGUAUAAUAUAGUAUAUAUUGUAUAAUAUAGUAGUUAAUAUAAUCUGAUCAUUUAUUGCGAAAUAUUUUGCAACUGCAGCAUUAUAUUUCAUGGUUGUUUAAGCGUGCACUGUUUGUUUUAAGCAUCAGUAAGGCCAGAGAGAGCUGUGUAUGGAGGACUGUGAUCUGCUUCAGACGAGCUGCAGCUGCAGAUCUGAUUUCACAAACUUUUGCGGAAUUAAAACAUUCUUGCGGGGAUUUCAGGGGCUUUAAAUCUCACACGCGCUUUCACAAGGAAUAAACACACAUAUAAAGUCUCGCACUGCAACGCAGCGGUCAGCAUUGAGGAGGAUCUUGGACAAUGGCUUCAUACACGUUACCGGAGGGAUUCAGCGAUUUCGACAUGUUCGCCUUCGGCUCCGCGCUGCUGGUGGGCGGUCUUCUCGGUUUCUUUCUUAACUUGAUCUCGGUGGUGGCGUUCCUCAGAAUCCGGGAGAUGCAGACGCCCAAUAACUUCUUCGUCUUUAACCUGGCUGUGGCCGACCUGAGCCUCAACAUUAACGGUUUAGUGGCUGCUUAUGCCAGUUACCUGAGAUACUGGCCGUUCGGGUCGGAGGGCUGUCAGAUUCACGCUUUUCAGGGAAUGGUGUCGAUCCUCGCAGCCAUCAGUUUUCUCGCUGCCAUUGCUUGGGACAGAUAUCAUCAGUACUGUACUAAGCAGAAGAUGUUCUGGAGCACGUCUAUGACCAUGAGCACCAUCAUCUGGAUCCUGGCCGUGUUCUGGGCGGCUCUGCCUCUGCCGGCCAUCAGCUGGGGCGUCUUUGACUUUGAGCCGAUGAAAACAUGCUGUACGCUCGACUACACGCAAGGAGACCGGAGUUACAUCACCUACAUGCUGUCCAUCACUGUACUGUAUUUAGCAUUCCCUCUUAUGGUUCUGCAGUCGUCCUACAAUGCCAUCUAUGCUUAUUUCAAAAAGACGCACCACUUCAAGUUUAACACAGGUUUACCUCUGAAAGCGCUGCUGUUCUGCUGGGGUCCGUAUGUUCUGAUGUGCACAUACGCCUGCUUCGAGAACGUUAAUCUCGUUUCCCCAAAGCUCAGAAUGGUCCUUCCGGUGCUGGCCAAGACGUCUCCGAUCUUCCACGCCGUCCUGUAUGCGUUCGGUAACGAGUUCUACCGCGGAGGAAUCUGGCAGUUCCUCACCGGGCAGAAAUCCACGGACAAGAAGAAAUAGUGAAAGAGCUUUAGCCAUGUAAUGUUGUAUUCAGAUGAGUCUGCAAGAGUUUACACGUGACGGGACUGUAAUUCACUGUAUAUGUCAAAUCAGUGCCUAACACAUUUGGAGAUAUUUGUCCAUGAUUGUGAUUAUUGAAGACUGACAUAUGAAGCCUUAUUUCAGUUUCCUGGAGUGUCAGAGAUGACUUACACAGUUCAUUCAGGACACAAUCAUUUAACCAUUUCAUUUGCCUUACUGUCGCUGUUGACCAGUGCAUUAGAAUACAGUAUUCAUGUGUAAAUCUGUAAGUAAGAGGAUUUUUUCUAACCAAGACUUGAAGCCAGUGAAUGAACCGCUAAAAACAAAAGGGCCUUUCAUUGUUAAUCCACAGAAUAAACCGUGAAGCACAAGACAGUUUGUCACGGGUUCUUUAAGGGUUCAGAAGGAGACUGAUGAAGGCGAAUGAACUCUACUAGAAUCUCUCGUCAAGGACUGGCUUGCAGAUGGUCAUCUUCACUGGUUUAGCUGGUUUCCUUAACAAACCGUCAUCUGACUCAGUUCAGUGUGUUUCUCAAGGCACACUGAUGUUCACAGAUCUUCUCCGUCUCCAGCUCAGAUCUCGAAGCGGUGGCUAAUCAACAUUCACGUUAGGAUUAGAAAUUCUCCAGGGCUCAGUAAUCUGCAGUAAUUCCUCUGCACAAGGAGCUGCUCUCAUAUCAGUAGAUUUGGGUUUCUGACGUGUGUUGAAGACCAAAGAGGAUCAGGAGAGCUUUACUGCAGCCGGUCACGGGCGACCGAACUCUGAAGCUACUCUGUUCCUCAGAAACACACCGGAGCACAGCUGAAGAGGAGCGUCUGUUCGUUUAUUCAUUCAUUCACUAUCAGCCUUUUCCCUUUAGUGUCUUUCUUCCUCUUUUAAUGUAAGUGAACUGUAUGUAUUGACAUCUUUCAGUUCACAGUCCUCCACAGUUCCUGGAAUCAGGUGUAUUUAACAUGAGCUAAAAAACAAAAAACUCAACAUGGCAAAGAAUGUUAGAUCUUUUUAAUGCUGUUUAGAAAAGAAGAUUGAGAUAAUUUGGGAUAAAGUAUAAAUUCAUGGCAAU
Molecule: RNA transcript, 2441 nt
Organism: Onychostoma macrolepis
Lineage: Eukaryota; Metazoa; Chordata; Actinopteri; Cypriniformes; Cyprinidae
Gene: rgrb
Gene name: retinal G protein coupled receptor b
Exons: 8
Source: RefSeq, a predicted model, not a curated record